Molecule: ribosomal RNA, 253 nt
Filed under: uncultured bacterium
Lineage: Bacteria
Description: partial 16S ribosomal RNA
Rfam family: Bacterial small subunit ribosomal RNA
Source: RNAcentral
UACGAAGGGGGCUAGCGUUGCUCGGAAUUACUGGGCGUAAAGCGCACGUAGGCGGCUUUCUAAGUCGGGGGUGAAAUCCUGGAGCUCAACUCCAGAACUGCCUUCGAUACUGGAGAGCUUGAGUCCGGGAGAGGUGAGUGGAACUGCGAGUGUAGAGGUGAAAUUCGUAGAUAUUCGCAAGAACACCAGUGGCGAAGGCGGCUCACUGGCCCGGUACUGACGCUGAGGUGCGAAAGCUAGGGUAGCAAACGGG